This 176-nucleotide ribosomal RNA is filed under the name uncultured bacterium. RNAcentral's name for it is "partial 16S ribosomal RNA". It matches the Rfam family "Bacterial small subunit ribosomal RNA", at positions 1325 to 1500 of the family's 1533-position model. The record is from RNAcentral.
GUUGGAAUUGCUAGUAAUCGCGAAUCAGAAUGUCGCGGUGAAUACGUUCCCGGGCCUUGUACACACCGCCCGUCACACCAUGAGAGUCGAUAACACCCGAAGCCUGUGAGCUAACCGCAAGGGGGCAGCAGUCGAAGGUGGGGUUGAUGAUUGGGGUGAAGUCGUAACAAGGUAAC